AUUGAACGCUGGCGGCAUGCCUUACACAUGCAAGUCGAACGGCAGCACGGGAGCAAUCCUGGUGGCGAGUGGCGAACGGGUGAGUAAUACAUCGGAACGUGCCCAGUAGUGGGGGGAUAGCCCGGCGAAAGCCGGAUUAAUACCGCAUACGACCUACGGGUGAAAGCGGGGGAUCGCAAGACCUCGCGCUAUUGGAGCGGCCGAUGUCAGAUUAGCUUGUUGGUGGGGUAAAAGCCUACCAAGGCGACGAUCUGUAGCUGGUCUGAGAGGACGACCAGCCACACUGGGACUGAGACACGGCCCAGACUCCUACGGGAGGCAGCAGUGGGAAUUUUGGACAAUGGGCGCAAGCCUGAUCCAGCCAUGCCGCGUGCGGGAAGAAGGCCUCGGGUUGUAACGCUUUGUCA
Molecule: ribosomal RNA, 407 nt
Filed under: uncultured bacterium
Lineage: Bacteria
Description: bacterial SSU rRNA
Rfam family: Bacterial small subunit ribosomal RNA
Source: RNAcentral